RNAcentral lists this ribosomal RNA (460 nucleotides) under uncultured bacterium. Its description in RNAcentral is "partial 16S ribosomal RNA". It matches the Rfam family "Bacterial small subunit ribosomal RNA", at positions 338 to 795 of the family's 1533-position model. The record is from RNAcentral.
CCUACGGGUGGCAGCAGUGAGGAAUAUUGGUCAAUGGACGAGAGUCUGAACCAGCCAAGUAGCGUGAAGGAUGACUGCCCUAUGGGUUGUAAACUUCUUUUAUAUGGGAAUAAAAUGUUCCACGUGUGGGAUUUUGUAUGUACCAUAUGAAUAAGGAUCGGCUAACUCCGUGCCAGCAGCCGCGGUAAUACGGAGGGUCCGAGCGUUAUCCGGAUUUCUUGGGUUUAAAGGGAGCGUAGGUGGAUUGUUAAGUCAGGUGUGAAAGUUUGCGGCUCAACCGUAAAAUUGCAGUUGAAACUGGCAGUCUUGAGUACAGGAGAGGUGGGCGGAAUUCGUGGUGUAGCGGUGAAAUGCUUAGAUAUCACGAAGAACUCCGAUUGCGAAGGCAGCUCACUGGACUGCAACUGACGCUGAGGAGCGAAAGCGUGGGUAGCAAACAGGAUUAGAUACCCGUGUAGUC